This 253-nucleotide ribosomal RNA is filed under the name uncultured bacterium. Its description in RNAcentral is "partial 16S ribosomal RNA". It matches the Rfam family "Bacterial small subunit ribosomal RNA", at positions 524 to 776 of the family's 1533-position model. The record is from RNAcentral.
UACAGAGGUCCCAAGCGUUGUUCGGAUUCACUGGGCGUAAAGGGUGCGCAGGUGGUCGGGUAAGUCUGACGUGAAAUCCCGCAGCUUAACUGCGGAAUGGCAUUGGAUACUAUUCGGCUAGAGGGUUGGAGGGGGGACUGGAAUUCUCGGUGUAGCAGUGAAAUGCGUAGAUAUCGAGAGGAACACCAGUGGCGAAGGCGAGUCCCUGGACAAUUCCUGACGCUGAGGCACGAAAGCUAGGGGAGCAAACAGG